RNAcentral lists this ribosomal RNA (252 nucleotides) under uncultured bacterium. RNAcentral describes it as "partial 16S ribosomal RNA". It matches the Rfam family "Bacterial small subunit ribosomal RNA", at positions 524 to 776 of the family's 1533-position model. The record is from RNAcentral.
UACGUAGGGGGCAAGCGUUGUCCGGAAUUAUUGGGCGUAAAGCGCGCGCAGGCGGCCUUGUAAGUCUGUCGUUUAAACUCGGAGCUCAACUUCGAGUCGCGAUGGAAACUGCAAAGCUUGAGUGCAGAAGAGGAAAGUGGAAUUCCACGUGUAGCGGUGAAAUGCGUAGAGAUGUGGAGGAACACCAGUGGCGAAGGCGACUUUCUGGGCUGUAACUGACGCUGAGGCGCGAAAGCGUGGGGAGCGAACAGG